This 497-nucleotide ribosomal RNA is filed under the name uncultured bacterium. RNAcentral describes it as "partial 16S ribosomal RNA". It matches the Rfam family "Bacterial small subunit ribosomal RNA", at positions 28 to 507 of the family's 1533-position model. The record is from RNAcentral.
GAUGAACGCUGGCGGCGUGCCUAAUACAUGCAAGUCGAGCGAACGGACGAGAAGCUUGCUUCUCUGAUGUUAGCGGCGGACGGGUGAGUAACACGUGGAUAACCUACCUAUAAGACUGGGAUAACUUCGGGAAACCGGAGCUAAUACCGGAUAAUAUUUUGAACCGCAUGGUUCAAAAGUGAAAGACGGUCUUGCUGUCACUUAUAGAUGGAUCCGCGCUGCAUUAGCUAGUUGGUAAGGUAACGGCUUACCAAGGCAACGAUGCAUAGCCGACCUGAGAGGGGGAUUCGCCAACACGGAAACGAGGAAACGUUCCAGACUCUUAGGGAAGGCAGAGGAGGGAAAUCUUCCGAAAUGGGCGAAAGCCUGCCGGAGAAACGCGGCGUGGUGAAUGAAGGUCUUCGGUUCGUAAAACCCUGUAAUAGGGAAAAAACAUAGGUGUAGGUAACGGUGAAAAUUUGACGGUACCUAAUCAGAAAGCCACGGCUAACUACGUG